RNAcentral lists this ribosomal RNA (253 nucleotides) under uncultured bacterium. Its description in RNAcentral is "partial 16S ribosomal RNA". It matches the Rfam family "Bacterial small subunit ribosomal RNA", at positions 524 to 776 of the family's 1533-position model. The record is from RNAcentral.
UACGAAGGGUGCAAACGUUGCUCGGAAUUAUUGGGCGUAAAGCGCACGUAGGCGGCUUCGCAAGUCGGAUGUGAAAUCCCUCGGCUUAACCAAGGAAGUGCAUCCGAAACUGCAGAGCUUGAGUACUUAAGAGGAUCGCGGAAUUCCCGGUGUAGAGGUGAAAUUCGUAGAUAUCGGGAGGAACACCAGUGGCGAAGGCGGCGAUCUGGGAAGAUACUGACGCUGAGGUGCGAAAGCGUGGGGAGCAAACAGG